Molecule: ribosomal RNA, 903 nt
Filed under: Arthrobacter sp.
Lineage: Bacteria; Bacillati; Actinomycetota; Actinomycetes; Micrococcales; Micrococcaceae
Description: bacterial SSU rRNA
Rfam family: Bacterial small subunit ribosomal RNA
Source: RNAcentral
UUGGGCGUAAGAGCUCGUAGGCGGUUUGUCGCGUCUGCCGUGAAAGUCCGGGGCUCAACUCCGGAUCUGCGGUGGGUACGGGCAGACUAGAGUGAUGUAGGGGAGACUGGAAUUCCUGGUGUAGCGGUGAAAUGCGCAGAUAUCAGGAGGAACACCGAUGGCGAAGGCAGGUCUCUGGGCAUUAACUGACGCUGAGGAGCGAAAGCAUGGGGAGCGAACAGGAUUAGAUACCCUGGUAGUCCAUGCCGUAAACGUUGGGCACUAGGUGUGGGGGACAUUCCACGUUUUCCGCGCCGUAGCUAACGCAUUAAGUGCCCCGCCUGGGGAGUACGGCCGCAAGGCUAAAACUCAAAGGAAUUGACGGGGGCCCGCACAAGCGGCGGAGCAUGCGGAUUAAUUCGAUGCAACGCGAAGAACCUUACCAAGGCUUGACAUGGACCGGACCGCCGCAGAAAUGUGGUUUCUCCUUUUGGGGCCGGUUCACAGGUGGUGCAUGGUUGUCGUCAGCUCGUGUCGUGAGAUGUUGGGUUAAGUCCCGCAACGAGCGCAACCCUCGUUCCAUGUUGCCAGCACGUAGUGGUGGGGACUCAUGGGAGACUGCCGGGGUCAACUCGGAGGAAGGUGGGGACGACGUCAAAUCAUCAUGCCCCUUAUGUCUUGGGCUUCACGCAUGCUACAAUGGCCGGUACAAAGGGUUGCGAUACUGUGAGGUGGAGCUAAUCCCAAAAAGCCGGUCUCAGUUCGGAUUGGGGUCUGCAACUCGACCCCAUGAAGUCGGAGUCGCUAGUAAUCGCAGAUCAGCAACGCUGCGGUGAAUACGUUCCCGGGCCUUGUACACACCGCCCGUCAAGUCACGAAAGUUGGUAACACCCGAAGCCGGUGGCCUAACCCCUUGUGGAGGGA